GAACGCUGGCGGCGUGCUUAACACAUGCAAGUCGAACGGAAAGGCCCUGCUUUUGUGGGGUGCUCGAGUGGCGAACGGGUGAGUAACACGUGAGUAACCUGCCCUUGACUUUGGGAUAACUUCAGGAAACUGGGGCUAAUACCGGAUAGGAGCUCCUGCUGCAUGGGGGGGGUUGGAAAGUUUCGGCGGGUGGGGAUGGACUCGCGGCUUAUCAGCUUGUUGGUGGGGUAGUGGCUUACCAAGGCUUUGACGGGUAGCCGGCCUGAGAGGGUGACCGGCCACAUUGGGACUGAGAUACGGCCCAGACUCCUACGGGAGGCAGCAGUGGGGAAUAUUGCACAAUGGGCGGAAGCCUGAUGCAGCAACGCCGCGUGCGGGAUGACGGCCUUCGGGUUGUAAACCGCUUUCGCCUGUGACGAAGCGUGAGUGACGGUAAUGGGUAAAGAAGCACCGGCUAACUACGUG
Molecule: ribosomal RNA, 465 nt
Filed under: uncultured bacterium
Lineage: Bacteria
Description: partial 16S ribosomal RNA
Rfam family: Bacterial small subunit ribosomal RNA
Source: RNAcentral